RNAcentral lists this ribosomal RNA (406 nucleotides) under uncultured bacterium. RNAcentral describes it as "partial 16S ribosomal RNA". It matches the Rfam family "Bacterial small subunit ribosomal RNA", at positions 28 to 526 of the family's 1533-position model. The record is from RNAcentral.
GAUGAACGCUAGCUACAGGCUUAACACAUGCAAGUCGAGGGACGGGCGCACGGGUGAGUAACACGUAUCCAGCCUGCCCUUUACUCGGGGAUAGCCUUUAGCAAGAACGAUUAAUGCCCGAACUAAGGGAUGGGGAUGCGUUCCAUUAGUUGGUGGGUGAGGUAACGGCUCACCAAGCCUUCGAUGGAUAGGGGUGCGGAGAGCAAGGUCCCCCACAUUGGAACUGAGACCCGGUCCAAACCCGGACGGGAGGCAGCGGUGAGGAAUAUUGGUCAAUGGGCGCUAGCCUGAACCAGCCAAGUAGCGUGAAGGAGGAAGGCUUAUGGGUCGUAAACUUCUUGUAUAUAAGAAUAUGUAUUAUAUGAAUAAGGAUCGGCUAACUCCGUGCCAGCCGCCGCGGUAAUUC